GACGGGGGCCCGCACAAGCGGUGGAGCAUGUGGUUUAAUUCGAAGCAACGCGAAGAACCUUACCAGGUCUUGACAUCCCGAUGCUAUUUCUAGAGAUAGAAAGUUACUUCGGUACAUCGGUGACAGGUUGGUGCAUGGUUGUCGUCAGCUCGUGUCGUGAGAUGUUGGGUUAAGUCCCGCAACGAGCGCAACCCUUGUCAUUAAUUGCCAUCAUUCAGUUAGGCACUUUAAUGAGACUGCCGGUGACAAACCGGAGGAAGGUGGGGAUGACGUCAAGUCCUCAUGGCCCUUAUGGGUAGGGCUUCACACGUAAUACAAUGGUCGGUACAGAGGGUUGCCAACCCGCGAGGGGGAGCCAAUCCCAGAAAACCGAUCGUAGUCCGGAUCGCAGUCUGCAACUCGACUGCGUGAAGUCGGAAUCGCUAGUAAUCGCGGAUCAGCAUGUCGCGGUGAAUACGUUCCCGGGUCUU
Molecule: ribosomal RNA, 470 nt
Filed under: uncultured Rhodocyclaceae bacterium
Lineage: Bacteria; Pseudomonadati; Pseudomonadota; Betaproteobacteria; Rhodocyclales; Rhodocyclaceae
Description: bacterial SSU rRNA
Rfam family: Bacterial small subunit ribosomal RNA
Source: RNAcentral